This 334-nucleotide unclassified non-coding RNA is filed under the name soil metagenome. RNAcentral's name for it is "partial contains 5.8S ribosomal RNA, internal transcribed spacer 2, and large subunit ribosomal RNA". The stretch from base 1 to 120 matches the Rfam family "5.8S ribosomal RNA", at positions 35 to 154 of the family's 154-position model. The record is from RNAcentral.
GAUGAAGAACGUAGCGAAAUGCGAUAAGUAAUGUGAAUUGCAGAAUUCAGUGAAUCAUCGAAUCUUUGAACGCACAUUGCGCCCCUUGGUAUUCCGAGGGGCAUGCCUGUUCGAGCGUCAUUUCAACCAUCAAGCCCCCGGCUUGUGUUGGGGACCUGCGGCUGCCGCAGGCCCUGAAAUGCAGUGGCGGGCUCGCUGUCACUCCGAGCGUAGUAGUUACAUCUCGCUCUGGGCGUGCUGCGGGUUCCGGCCGUUAAAAGCCUUAUUUACCCAAGGUUGACCUCGGAUCAGGUAGGAAGACCCGCUGAACUUAAGCAUAUCAAUAAGCGGAGGA